CUAUGCGCCUUGCCAGCCCGCUCAGGUGUGCCAGCAGCCGCGGUAAUACGGAGGAUGCGAGCGUUAUCCGGAUUUAUUGGGUUUAAAGGGUGCGUAGGUGGUUAAUUAAGUCAGCGGUGAAAGUUUGUGGCUCAACCAUAAAAUUGCCGUUGAAACUGGUUGACUUGAGUAUAUUUGAGGUAGGCGGAAUGCGUGGUGUAGCGGUGAAAUGCAUAGAUAUCACGCAGAACUCCGAUUGCGAAGGCAGCAUACCGGCGCCCUACUGACGCUGAGGCACGAAAGCGUGGGUAUCGAACAGG
This 299-nucleotide ribosomal RNA is filed under the name uncultured bacterium. RNAcentral describes it as "partial 16S ribosomal RNA". It matches the Rfam family "Bacterial small subunit ribosomal RNA", at positions 475 to 776 of the family's 1533-position model. The record is from RNAcentral.